UACGUAGGGACCGAGCGUUGUUCGGAAUUACUGGGCGUAAAGGGCUCGUAGGUGGCCAACUAAGUCAGACGUGAAAUCCCUCGGCUUAACCGGGGAACUGCGUCUGAUACUGGAUGGCUAGAGGUUGGGAGAGGGAUGCGGAAUUCCAGGUGUAGCGGUGAAAUGCGUAGAUAUCUGGAGGAACACCGGUGGCGAAGGCGGCAUCCUGGACCAAUUCUGACGCUGAGGAGCGAAAGCCAGGGGAGCAAACGGG
RNAcentral lists this ribosomal RNA (253 nucleotides) under uncultured bacterium. Its description in RNAcentral is "partial 16S ribosomal RNA". It matches the Rfam family "Bacterial small subunit ribosomal RNA", at positions 524 to 776 of the family's 1533-position model. The record is from RNAcentral.